This 429-nucleotide ribosomal RNA is filed under the name Bacteroidota bacterium. Its description in RNAcentral is "Bacteroidetes bacterium partial 16S ribosomal RNA". It matches the Rfam family "Bacterial small subunit ribosomal RNA", at positions 355 to 776 of the family's 1533-position model. Lineage: Bacteria; Pseudomonadati; Bacteroidota. The record is from RNAcentral.
UAGGGAAUCUUCGGCAAUGGGGGGAACCCUGACCGAGCAACGCCGCGUGAGUGAAGAAGGUUUUCGGAUCGUAAAGCUCUGUUGUUAAGGAAGAACGAGUGUGAGAAUGGAAAGUUCAUACUGUGACGGUACUUAACCAGAAAGGGACGGCUAACUACGUGCCAGCAGCCGCGGUAAUACGUAGGUCCCGAGCGUUGUCCGGAUUUAUUGGGCGUAAAGCGAGCGCAGGCGGUUAGAUAAGUCUGAAGUUAAAGGCAGUGGCUCAACCAUUGUAGGCUUUGGAAACUGUUUAACUUGAGUGCAGAAGGGGAGAGUGGAAUUCCAUGUGUAGCGGUGAAUUGCGUAGAUAUAUGGAGGAACACCGGUGGCGAAAGCGGCUCUCUGGUCUGUAACUGACGCUGAGGCUCGAAAGCGUGGGGAGCGAACAGG